CAUCACAGUCUACAACAAAAUUCAGAAUGUUUUCCAGAUCAAAAUCUACCUGACGGUGAGUCGCAUUGAGCCAGGGUGAUGAGAAGUUCACUCUGCAUCUUUCCCGACUCCACUUCCUGUUUUCCAGGGUCCUGCCUGCCCAUCUGAGGACAUGCCUGCUCAUCACCCACGUGCAUCCUGUCACAGUGGGACUGCGUGUGUUCCCUGCUCAUUGUCACUUCCACGGUUUUGCUGAGUCUAUGCGAUUCUUCCAGGCCACUCCAAGUUCCACCUCUUCCACGAAGCCCUCCUUGAUUGCUGGGCCCUGGUUGAACUUAUUAUUAGUAACACCCAGGUUACUUCUACUUAAUUCUUGCCUCCAGCCAAAGUGGACUUAGAACCUCCUUGCACGCCUGGUAAAGUCGUAUAAAGUCUGCUGGGUAUAAAGCAGAAGCAACACAGUGUCUGGUUUGAAGCUUAGCGCUUGGGUUCAGACGGUUGUGGGUUACAAUCCCUUCUACGUGUGUUGCCUGUGGAAACCCUUUGGUUCUCUGUGCCUGGAGCUCGCCUGUAAUGGGACAAAACCAUCUCACCUAGAUUGUUGUUCUGAGGAUUGAAUUAGGUGAUUCUGAGAGGAGUGUAUGAGUCUUCCCUGAUUAACAAUCCAUGAAAAGUGGGCGUCAUUGCUGAAGCUCACGGAAGAAAUAUGAAAUUUGAUGAUAUCCUGAUUCAUGGCAUUGGGUCACCACCUCAGCAGUUUUUAUGAAAGUAGCGUCUGACCUGGCAAAGGCUGUGUCAUCUUAUUAUCUCAGAAAGGCAAAUUUACGGGGUCAGAUGAUGGACGGCCAGGUUUCAGGCUUGUAGAUUUCUCAAUGGGGUGGAAGGAAGGAGAGAAAAAGAGAGACAGGAGAGAGUACACACUUAAUUCUACUUCUCCUAGGGUGAUGUUUCCUUCUUCCCCUUCCAGAGUUCUCAAAAAGGCAUUCUAGGAAGUCCUGUAAAAUACAUGCUCAUACAACAUCUCCUAAUUUCCACAAAUUGUUGAGGAUUUAAAAACUCAGUUGGGGGUUUGCUGUUCUAGCCUGAGACACCAGGGUCACGUUUCAGUGCUUGUGGUCUUGAGACAGUACCAGGCAUCUGGGAUGAAGUUGGGGAAGGAAGGUCUGGUGACCCUGCUGGCCUGCCUCUCUUGAAAGAUGCCUACUGGCUGCUGGCUCCAUCACUGGUGUGUCACAGGGCUUUAGGAUUUGGAAAAGCAGAGGAUGUAAAACAAGACAGAA
This 1259-nucleotide long non-coding RNA is filed under the name Macaca mulatta (Rhesus monkey). RNAcentral's name for it is "lncRNA (ENSMMUG00000041776.2)". Lineage: Eukaryota; Metazoa; Chordata; Mammalia; Primates; Cercopithecidae. The record is from RNAcentral.